CGUUAAUUUGAUCGCCUCCCAGUGGUCAGUGAAGGACAUGAAACACUUGCUGAGCCACAGGUGUGGGUCCUGAUAUAGUUCCGGGGCUUCUUAAAAUGCUGAGACCCUGGUGUCCUUCCAGAGCUGCCCUGUAACGAGAAACGCCUCCCUCUCCAUCUGCCUCUGAACGGAAGGCCACUGAUAGGAGGCUCUUCCAACUUACAGCCGAGAAAGCAGGUCUCAGUUAAUUUGGAGGAUGGUCCUCAUGAAGGGGGUGGCACACCUGCUCCGAAGGGCCUGUAGUCCCAGCUGAUGCGUCCCCCGAGAAGCAGGCUAAGCUAAGGAGGAUGGCAGUGCAGCUGGGUCCACAGCAGGCUCGGUACACUUCACGGGAGAAAGAGCUCGAACAGCUGGAACCCAGAGAACCCUUCAGUGUCCUCUGGGGAUGGACUUCCUGCCACGGACAAGCUGACCCAGGCUUCGGAAGGCAAGACAGAGGCCAGGAAUAAAGCUGGACCACGGAAGCCUGGAAUCUCUCAAAGGGUCCCGCACAGACCACAGCCCCGAGCAAGACGCCAGAGGCCCAAGGAGCAGAAAUCACCUGGAUGUUACCUUUCUCAGAAGGAUGAACAAAACCAGAGGAUCCUGUCACCCAGUGACCUAACCUCGGAUGACUAGACUAUAGCCAUUGGCAUUUCCCAGCCAACAGGGGCUGCUCCGUCCCAAUUCUGCAGCCAAACGGUCCAGGAAAAAACGGACUGCAUGGCUGUGAGCGCCCACGUGCCCUUGCAGCCGGGGCACCCGUCCUGCUCCCACAAUGGAUGCCCUGCGGAGCUCACGGGCUGGGACGGGACAGUGUGCUCUGCGCAGCCUCUUCCCGACCUUGGCUCGUCUCCCCUGGUUCCCCACGAAGGACAGGCCCGUGCAGG
Molecule: long non-coding RNA, 908 nt
Organism: Orcinus orca (killer whale)
Lineage: Eukaryota; Metazoa; Chordata; Mammalia; Artiodactyla; Delphinidae
Exons: 3
Source: RefSeq, a predicted model, not a curated record